Molecule: long non-coding RNA, 1196 nt
Organism: Branchiostoma belcheri (Belcher's lancelet)
Lineage: Eukaryota; Metazoa; Chordata; Leptocardii; Amphioxiformes; Branchiostomatidae
Exons: 4
Source: RefSeq, a predicted model, not a curated record
UCUUAAUGUAUGCUAUGUAAUAGGUACUGUAAACUAACAGAAAUACAUUUAAAUAAUAAAACAUGAAUAUAUUAACUACUUUAAUCUAACAAAUACUGCAAAAAUUUUGUCACAGAGAAUGCAUUCACUUUGUGGCAACAUGGAAUAGUCCAAGGAGAAAGUAGAUUUUGAUCCAAAACAAUAGCUCCUUUUACUCUGAUUUAUGUAAAUUUGACUCAUGUACCGGUCUACAAAGCAAUUUCAUUACAUACAAACAUGUUUAAGAUAUUUUUCUGUCCUUUUUCUUUGUUCCAAGGCGUAUUUGGGAGAGCAUGUGGUAAAUUAUGCAACUGUUGCACAUUCAAGUCUCUGUAGUUCGCAAGAAAAACAACAAAGAUGGCGGAGGCCACAUACACGGCCGGGGCAAAGAGCCAGUCAGUUGGGCUCAUACAUAGGGUAUGUGCCCAUAAACCUGAGAAAAAACUCUUCUGAAAGAAUUUGGAAGAGGGCACUGGAGUCUCGGGGGUGGUGGAUUUCAUUCACCCUCCUGCUGGAAGUGUAGUCCAGCCCCUAGUGCAGUGCGGGUGCGGACAUGCCCCAAAGGACUGGAUUGAUGUCGAGUACUACACUAACACAACGCUGUCACAGCUGAGGGAAUUCGGGCUGGAUCAUAUAAAAUCCAGUGCACCGGGGAUGAGGCUGGCUCAAGUGGUGCUACGCAAGAGCAGGAACAGCAAGUCAGCGCUUUUGAUGUCUUAAUGUCACGAAUCAAAGUGCCACCACCCAAGAAAACAAGGAGUGCUGGACAGAGUGAAAGCAUAACAAGAAAAGAUGAACUCUACAGUGACCUUGUGUCAGACUUCACAUCACGUGGUUGCCUGUUUGCCAGGGAUCAGGCAGCAAGCGAAGGAGCGUACAUAAUUCAGGCAGCAUGGCAGAUGUUCGCCGCCGUCUUGCACAAGAGCACCCUGAGCUUGCCGAAGGAUGGAGGUGUUCCAUCGAAUCUGUGCAAGCUUUGCUGCUUACAAGGUUCAGUGGACUUGCCCUGAAGGACAAACCAUUUCAGGUUAUGGAUCCUGUGUCGGAAGUAGAGAUUGUUUGAAGCGCUGAAGGCCUUGUUUCCAGACCUCGACGUCACGAAGCUUCAGAAGCAGCACACAAAGAAGUCGAGAACGUACAACAACUGGCUACAACAACACUGCCGCCAAACACAUGCA